This 200-nucleotide ribosomal RNA is filed under the name uncultured bacterium. Its description in RNAcentral is "partial 16S ribosomal RNA". It matches the Rfam family "Bacterial small subunit ribosomal RNA", at positions 8 to 208 of the family's 1533-position model. The record is from RNAcentral.
AGAGUUUGAUCCUGGCUCAGGACGAACGCUGGCGGCGUGCCUAACACAUGCAAGUCGAGCGGUCUAUGCAGCAAUGUAUGGAUAGCGGCGGACGGGUGAGUAACGCGUGGGCAACCUGCCUCAUACAGGGGGAUAACACAGGGAAACUUGUGCUAAUACCGCAUAACAUCACGGGAGGACAUCCUUUUGUGAUCAAAGGA